RNAcentral lists this ribosomal RNA (497 nucleotides) under uncultured bacterium. Its description in RNAcentral is "partial 16S ribosomal RNA". It matches the Rfam family "Bacterial small subunit ribosomal RNA", at positions 28 to 507 of the family's 1533-position model. The record is from RNAcentral.
GACGAACGCUGGCGGCGUGCCUAAUACAUGCAAGUUGAGCGCUGAAGGUUGGUACUUGUACCAACUGGAUGAGCAGCGAACGGGUGAGUAACGCGUGGGGAAUCUGCCUUUGAGCGGGGGACAACAUUUGGAAACGAAUGCUAAUACCGCAUAAAAACUUUAAACACAAGUUUUAAGUUUGAAAGAUGCAAUUGCAUCACUCAAAGAUGAUCCCGCGUUGUAUUAGCUAGUUGGUGAGGUAAAGGCUCACCAAGGCGAUGAUACAUAGCCGACCUGAGAGGGUGAUCGGCCACAGUGGGAAUGAGACACGGCCCAAAAUCCAACGGGAGGCAGCAGUAGAGAAUAAUAGGAAAAGGAAGAAAGUCUGAACGAGAAACAACGCGUGAGUGAAGAAGGUUAUCAGAUCGUAAAACUCUGUUGGUAGAGAAGAAAGUUGGUGAGAGUGGAAAGCGCAUAAAGUGACGGUAACUACCCAGAAAGGGACGGAUAACUACGUG